Molecule: ribosomal RNA, 349 nt
Filed under: uncultured soil bacterium
Lineage: Bacteria
Description: bacterial SSU rRNA
Rfam family: Bacterial small subunit ribosomal RNA
Source: RNAcentral
AGAUUGAACGCUGGCGGCAUGCCUUACACAUGCAAGUCGAACGCGAAAGGGGGGCAACCCCCGAGUAGAGUGGCGAACGGGUGAGUAAUAUAUCGGAACGUGUCCUGUAAUGGGGGAUAGCUCGGCGAAAGCCGGAUUAAUACCGCAUACGAUCUACGGAUGAAAGUGGGGGAUUCGCAAGGACCUCACGUUAUAGGAGCGGCCGAUAUCGGAUUAGCUAGUUGGUGAGGUAAAGGCUCACCAAGGCGACGAUCCGUAACUGGUCUGAGAGGAUGAUCAGUCACACCGGAACUGAGACACGGUCCGGACUCCUACGGGAGCAGCAGUGGGGAAUAGUUGGACAAGUGGG